RNAcentral lists this long non-coding RNA (315 nucleotides) under Ananas comosus (pineapple). RNAcentral's name for it is "long non-coding RNA (ACOM_LNC023488)". The record is from RNAcentral. Lineage: Eukaryota; Viridiplantae; Streptophyta; Magnoliopsida; Poales; Bromeliaceae.
GUAUUUUAUUAAAAAAAAUUUAGUAUUAGGCAAACUGAAAUAGGGGAAAAAAAAAAAAGGGAAAGAGCAUUUAAAAUUGACAGGAGAUGUCGAAGCGUAGAUGUAGUAGGAUGAACAGCAAAAGAUUGCGGAUGACCAUUGAGAGGUAUGGGAAGAAGCAUGGAACAACCCUUCGGGAUCAACAGGUUCAAAUAUCCGAUGCGGCGCAGGAGACGAAACGAUAUUGAAUCGAUAUCAUUUUUCCGUCUGGAGGGGGAAUCAACUGACGGGAAUGAAUCGGCGUAACUGGAAACAGUGGGAGUGAAGAAGGAUCGA